Molecule: non-coding RNA, 125 nt
Organism: Triticum aestivum (bread wheat)
Lineage: Eukaryota; Viridiplantae; Streptophyta; Magnoliopsida; Poales; Poaceae
Source: Rfam
AAAUUACUCCCUCCGUCCGGAAAUACUUGUUGGAGAAAUGAAUGUAUUUAGAUGUAUUUUAGUUUUAGAUACAUCUAUUUUUAUUCAUUUUCACGACAAGUAAUUCCGGACGGAGGGAGUACAAG